GCCAGGCAUGGUGGCACACGCCCGUAAUCCCAGCUACUUGGGAGGCUAAAGCAGGAGGAUCACAAGUUCAAGGCCAGCCUGGGCAAUUUAGUGAGACUCUGUUUCAA
RNAcentral lists this small RNA (107 nucleotides) under Marmota monax (woodchuck). The record is from RNAcentral. Lineage: Eukaryota; Metazoa; Chordata; Mammalia; Rodentia; Sciuridae.